This 214-nucleotide ribosomal RNA is filed under the name uncultured fungus. RNAcentral describes it as "partial small subunit ribosomal RNA". The stretch from base 91 to 214 matches the Rfam family "Eukaryotic small subunit ribosomal RNA", at positions 737 to 864 of the family's 1831-position model. Lineage: Eukaryota; Fungi. The record is from RNAcentral.
GGCCCGGUUGGACGGUCUGCCCUCGGGCAUGUACUGUCCUGACUGGGUCUUCCCUUCUGGUGAGCUGUCGUGUUGUUUACUCAGUGCGGCAGGGAACCAGGACUUUUACUUUGAAAAAAUUAGAGUGUUUCAGGCAGGCAAUUGCUUGGAUACUGCAGCAUGGAAUAAUGGAAUAGGACUUUGACCUAUUUGUUGGUUUCUCGAGGUCAAAGUA